Molecule: ribosomal RNA, 440 nt
Filed under: uncultured bacterium
Lineage: Bacteria
Description: bacterial SSU rRNA
Rfam family: Bacterial small subunit ribosomal RNA
Source: RNAcentral
CCUACGGGUGGCUGCAGUGGGGAAUAUUGGACAAUGGGGGCAACCCUGAUCCAGCCAUGCCGCGUGAGUGAAGAAGGCCUUCGGGUUGUAAAGCUCUUUCGACGGGGACGAUGAUGACGGUACCCGUAUAAGAAGCCCCGGCUAACUUCGUGCCAGCAGCCGCGGUAAUACGAAGGGGGCUAGCGUUGUUCGGAAUUACUGGGCGUAAAGCGCGCGUAGGCGGUGGUCCAUGUCAGAGGUGAAAUCCCGGAGCUCAACUCCGGAACUGCCUUUGAAACGGGACUGCUAGAAUCCGAGAGAGGAUGGCGGAAUUCCUAGUGUAGAGGUGAAAUUCGUAGAUAUUAGGAAGAACACCGGUGGCGAAGGCGGCCAUCUGGCUCGGUAUUGACGCUCAGGCGCGAAAGCGUGGGGAUCAAACAGGAUUAGAUACCCCAGUAGUC